This 294-nucleotide long non-coding RNA is filed under the name Apteryx owenii (little spotted kiwi). RNAcentral describes it as "lncRNA (ENSAOWG00000014670.1)". The record is from RNAcentral. Lineage: Eukaryota; Metazoa; Chordata; Aves; Apterygiformes; Apterygidae.
UGGAAAGGCUUGCUUUGGAGGUGCAGCUGAUCCCACCUAAUGCUCACCUGAAUUUCUUCCCGCCUGUGGCGUGGGCGUGAGAGUCUCCAGGGAAUAAACUGGAAGCCACAGCGGUCUGAGACGUAGCAAAUGGAACUUAUGGAGAACAGAGAGAUGCUCUCCGCGAGGGCUCCGCCGCAGCAUCGGGACUCGGAGAAGCGGCUCAGGGAGCGCGGUGCCCGGCGGGGGAGGCAGCAGGAGCAGAAUUUGGAAGGACAUUCUUGCCAUAAAAUCUUUAUUCCUGAACGUAUAUGA